ACAGCAGUAGCCGCGGUAAUACGAGGGGAGCUAGCGUUAUUCGGAAUUACUGGGCGUAAAGCGCACGUAGGCGGCUUUGUAAGUUAGAGGUGAAAGCCCAGAGCUCAACUCUGGAAUUGCCUUUAAGACUGCAUCGCUUGAAUCCAGGAGAGGUGAGUGGAAUUCCGAGUGUAGAGGUGAAAUUCGUAGAUAUUCGGAAGAACACCAGUGGCGAAGGCGGCUCACUGGACUGGUAUUGACGCUGAGGUGCGAAAGCGUGGGGAGCAAACAGGAUUAGAUACCCGUGUAGUCCCUGUCUCUUAUAC
Molecule: ribosomal RNA, 305 nt
Filed under: uncultured bacterium
Lineage: Bacteria
Description: partial 16S ribosomal RNA
Rfam family: Bacterial small subunit ribosomal RNA
Source: RNAcentral